This 255-nucleotide ribosomal RNA is filed under the name uncultured bacterium. RNAcentral describes it as "partial 16S ribosomal RNA". It matches the Rfam family "Bacterial small subunit ribosomal RNA", at positions 524 to 777 of the family's 1533-position model. The record is from RNAcentral.
UACGUAGGUGGCAAGCGUUGUCCGGAUUUAUUGGGUUUAAAGGGUGCGUAGGUGGCCCUGUAAGUCAGUGGUGAAAUAUCUCAGCUUAACUGAGAGGGUGCCAUUGAUACUGCAGGGCUUGAGUACAGAUGAGGUAGGCGGAAUUGACGGUGUAGCGGUGAAAUGCAUAGAUAUCGUCAAGAACACCGAUAGCGAAGGCAGCUUACCAAGCUGUAACUGACACUGAGGCACGAAAAGUGUGGGGAUCAAACAGGG